Scylla paramamosain (green mud crab) is the source of this 3234-nucleotide RNA transcript. RefSeq lists it as uncharacterized. The record is from RefSeq and is a predicted model, not a curated record. Lineage: Eukaryota; Metazoa; Arthropoda; Malacostraca; Decapoda; Portunidae. The transcript has 6 exons.
CCAUUUCUUUUUAUUUAUUACUAUUUCUAUUUUAUUUUUCCUCGCUCAGCCUAAUCUGUCCCCCUCUCCCCCUCCAAACUCCAAUCCUGACAUUACCAAGCCGCACUGAGAGCAUCGGGGGCGUUGUGUGGACUGCGUCGGGGAAAGUGACCAUGGCUUUUACCACCUUAGAGAUAUUGGUGUGUGUGUGUGUGUGUCCAUCUAUCCUAACCUGAGCUAACUUCUCUCACCCACACACAUGUAACGUUCCUUUUUAUUAUUUCUGUGUUUCUUUGAGUCUCCCCAAUAAUUGUUUUCUUUUGUAGCUUGCGGUGAAGAGGAGGAUAAUAGCGGUAAUUAAAGGUUUAGUGAUUAUAUGAAAAAGUAUAUUUAUAAGGCGUGUAUUCGUGGGAGUGAUUUAAAAGUCUUGAAACAUUUAUUAUAAAUAGUCUUACUUAUUUCAACUGUGGUUUUCUCUAAUCAGUGGUAAUACGAAUAAUAGGAUUACAUCAUGUUGCGUCAGCCUACCAGUAACUCAUAAGGUGUCAUUCCCUAGCUUAUAAAAUAUGUUAGUAAUUUAGAAUUCAAUUAUUAACUUCAACUAAUGUCCAGCCUAUAUGCUCACCUUGCUAGCCAAUUAUUCCUGCAUUUUUAUUUAAACUCACGGUUCAGUAAAAUUAUUUGUGAAAGAAGAGAGAGAGAGAACUAGCUAAGGUUCCAAUAACUUCAGAGGCCUGUGGGUGUUGAGGGAGAGAGCACAGAAUGGCGUCUCCCUUCCCUCUGGCAACAGGUGGGUCUCGUAGCUCUGAAAUAUUUGAUUUUUCUUUUAUUUAGAAGUGAAUAUUACUGUGUUCAUGUUUAUUAUUCAUGUCUCUAGUGAAGAUAAUUAUAGUGACUGUACGUGUUGACAGAAUGGCGUCUCCAUUCCCUCUGGCAACAGAAUGGCGUCUCCCUUCCCUCUGGCAACAGAUAAAAUUGCUGGUGUUGGUCCCACGUGGAGACAGGCCACAGAGUCUUGGGAAAGUGUUAGCCAUGUAAUGUUUCUUUAGUCAAAUAUAGUCUACUGUGAAUGUGUUGUGGGCAAUAUUAUUGCCGUAGAGAAGUGAUGGAUGAAGGCUGUGACGCUAUUUAGGGAUAUAACGGUGCCCAGAAUCAAUGGUACUCUUGAGGAGUUAUAAAAGUAAUUAUUUUCUUGUGUAUUCGUAGUGUUAAGUAACGGAGUAUAAGUGUAUAUGCCAUACCAGAAUUUCAAGUGCCUUUUCUUUUUUUUUUCUAGAUUAACCACUCGAUAAAGUGUCAUAGUGGGUCAGUCAACCCAAAGAAUCCCAUCAGUAUUAUUCAUUUAAUUAUUUUUGCUAUUUUUAUAUUUUUCGUUCCUCCUAAUAAAGCCACACUGUAGGUACUGUGUGAUAAUUAACCUCUCCCUACCCUCUGGCCAUGACGAUGAAGGCGAGAACCAUUACCAAUCAAAAAUGUUUUCUUUUUUUCUAUUGUGUGUGCGUGCUUCACCUCUUCUCUCUUCCUCUUCUUUUUUCUUCUUCACCGUGAAGAUCUUUGCCUCGUCUCAUUAGAGCUUUGAUCGGACCGGUGAGGAGGAGGGAGGAGGGGGGGGUGGCGUUACACACACAAAGGAAGUUAACAACAUUUCUACAUUAAUAACAGGAGAUACACCAUUGAAAACCCUGAUAAUCAUCUUUAUAGCUUUGAAAAACAGUCGUGAGGAGAGAGAGAGAGAGAGAGAGAGAGAGAGAGAGAGAGUAUGAGCAUUUCAGUUGAGCCUAUUCUGCCCUGGUUUGUGUUUGCUGCGGUGACACGGUGCCGCACUGAGUGAAGAUUGCGUUCAUAAUCACUUAUUUGGGGUGGAGUGGGGAAAGGAGAGUCAGGAAGUGAGGAUAUUUAUAUUAUUUGACAUAUUAUUUGAUAACAUGUCAACUUGUGUGUGUGUGUGUGUGUGUGCGCGGGGGUGGGUGUUGGAUCAGUGACAGGUGGCGCUGCUGGGGAGUUACCACUGCGAGCGGCUGGCUGGCUGCAGUGUUUUGGUCAGCACUGGUCAGUCUUGCCCCACACGCUCUAUUAACCAGUGUUUCCGUCUUCCCGACACCUUCUUCCUGCACCAAGCACCGUCAAGCAUCACCAGAGAGGCACGAGUACGUAAGCUAUCCAACAUCAGAACAGUAUAUGAAUAUGGCAAAUGCUGUUUUGACAUCAUUUCCUGCCAUCCUGAGAAACAGUGAUCUCGAGGAGCAUGAAAUGCAGCUGCAAUGAAAAUUGUGCAUCCAGUGCAAAUUUCAGAAUUCAAGAAAGAGGCAGGAUUCCUCAGUGACUGAGGUGACGUCAAGGAAAAAGAAGAUCCCUUGCAUAGCGCCAAAAGAGACUACAUGUCCACUGAUGUAUGGAGUAAAGGCUAACCUUCCACCAAGGCUUCAUUCAGAAGAUGAUGAGUCAUUAGAGAGACAUAGACAGUGGCUUGCUCUACACUGGAUGAAGAAAGAUCCCGAGUUAGAUAAGGCUGAACGCCUCAUGCAGUUGACACUCUCUGAGAGAUGCAAAAAAAUAAUCAAUGGGAACAUUCUUGUAGCAGAAAUCCUGAACUUGUACCCAUGGAUUCAGACUUUUGAUGGUAUAAUCAAGGAGUUCCUGAGAUUAGAACCACAAGCGGAUGAACCAGACCCAAGAGUAGCAGUUUUGAAAGGGCUGGAGAAAUAUAGGCUCCCAAUAAUUGCCAUUCUCAAAAAAAGAAAAGCAGUUCCUCUGUAUAUGGAAACCUUACUUGAACUCUAUGACCACGAUGAAAGUCAAUGUACCAGAAGAAGAACUAAGAACAGGGCAGUCUAGUGUGUAUUUGAUGGUGCACCUGUAGCUGAACCAACAUGUAUUUCUAUGGCUGUAGUCUCAUUGGUAGCAGGGCUUUGUGUUUAAUAUUGAACACCCAAAAAAUUGUGAACAUUUCCUCCGUUUCACAACAUCCCAUCUCUUAGGUAUCAAGUAUGACAAAGAUAUUUUUCCUGUAUCUGAGUUGGGCAAGCCAGCCCAGCUCAGUGCCGGUCACAAGCCCGGAUAAAUGGGGAGUGUUGCUGACAGGUCUAGUCAACCGAGCGUCAAAAACAAGACCAAACAUAAAUAAUGAACCUUAGGAAUACCUGUAUACUGGUAAUUUUUAUGUAUAGCAGGGAUGGACUAUUAUCUUGUCUGUUAAAUUUAGAAACACCAUUGUAGAGAUUGAAUGCUCCAAUAAAGUGUUCAGUGCAAAUUUAA